UUAAACAGCGAUAUAACCCUGCAGUCCAAAGACUGGUUACUUACUGAAACUAAGCAGGGCUGAGCCUGGUAAGUACCUGGAUGGGAGACCACAUGAAAACACUAGGUUGCUGUUGGAA
Molecule: ribosomal RNA, 118 nt
Organism: Danio rerio (zebrafish)
Lineage: Eukaryota; Metazoa; Chordata; Actinopteri; Cypriniformes; Danionidae
Source: Ensembl